RNAcentral lists this ribosomal RNA (484 nucleotides) under uncultured bacterium. RNAcentral describes it as "partial 16S ribosomal RNA". It matches the Rfam family "Bacterial small subunit ribosomal RNA", at positions 30 to 507 of the family's 1533-position model. The record is from RNAcentral.
AUUGAACGCUGGCGGCAGGCCUAACACAUGCAAGUCGAGCGGAUGAAGGGUGCUUGCUCCUGGAUUCAGCGGCGGACGGGUGAGUAAUGCCUAGGAAUCUGCCUGGUAGUGGGGGAUAACGUCCGGAAACGGGCGCUAAUACCGCAUACGUCCUGAGGGUGAAAGUGGGGGAUCUUCGGAACUCACGCUAUCAGAUGAUGCUAGGUGGGAGUAGCUAGUUGGUGGGGUAAAGGCCUACCAAGGCGACGAUGCGUAACUGGUCUGAGAGGAUGAUCAGUCACACUGGAACUGAGACACGGUCCAGACUCCUACGGGAGGCAGCAGUGGGGAAUAUUGGACAAUGGGCGGAAGCCUGAUCCAGCCAUGCCGCGUGUGUGAAGAAGGUCUUCGGAUUGUAAAGCACUUUAAGUUGGGAGGAAGGGCAGUAAGUUAAUACCUUGCUGUUUUGACGUUACCAACAGAAUAAGCACCGGCUAACUUCGUG